This 492-nucleotide ribosomal RNA is filed under the name uncultured bacterium. Its description in RNAcentral is "partial 16S ribosomal RNA". It matches the Rfam family "Bacterial small subunit ribosomal RNA", at positions 29 to 507 of the family's 1533-position model. The record is from RNAcentral.
AGUGAACGCUGGCGGUAGGCCUAACACAUGCAAGUCGAACGGCAGCACAGUAAGAGCUUGCUCUUACGGGUGGCGAGUGGCGGACGGGUGAGGAAUACAUCGGAAUCUACUUUUUCGUGGGGGAUAACGUAGGGAAACUUACGCUAAUACCGCAUACGACCUACGGGUGAAAGCAGGGGAUCUUCGGACCUUGCGCGAUUGAAUGAGCCGAUGUCGGAUUAGCUAGUUGGCGGGGUAAAGGCCCACCAAGGCGACGAUCCGUAGCUGGUCUGAGAGGAUGAUCAGCCACACUGGAACUGGGACACGGUCCAGACUACUACGAGAGGCAGCAGUGGGGAAUAUUGGACAAUGGGCGCAAGCCUGAUCCAGCCAUACCGCGUGGGUGAAGAAGGCCUUCGGGUUGUAAAGCCCUUUUGUUGGGCAAGAAAAGCAGCAGGUUAAUACCCCGCUGUUCUGACGGUACCCAAAGAAUAAGCACCGGCUAACUUCGUG